This is a long non-coding RNA of Bufo gargarizans (Asiatic toad), 720 nucleotides long. RefSeq lists it as uncharacterized. The transcript is spliced from 3 exons. Lineage: Eukaryota; Metazoa; Chordata; Amphibia; Anura; Bufonidae. The record is from RefSeq and is a predicted model, not a curated record.
CAGAGGACGCACUAUAUUAAGCCGGGCUGAUCCCAUGCGCAAAAAAAAAAGAAAGCUAAAAAUACCCGUUGGGAUCAUCUUCUCACGACUGCACACAGGGCGGCUCCUCCUGGCAUACACGCUAAUUGGGAGUCACCUUAACUGGAAGGCACCGGUACGCCUGGAGAGAAUAUUAAGGAUCAGUGUUAUUCUAUCAGAGGGCAGCAUGACGAUGGACACUACAAGAAACACAGAGAACCUCCUGCCAAGGGUAAUGUGCAGCAACAUACCAGGUGAUCAGCACAAGGUCUCUAAGUUCUGUGGGUUUUCCAGUAGCAUCCUUGGAACCUCAAAACGGUGGGUGUCUGACUUCUCAUAACUAAGGAAUACAGAAAGAAUAGCUCAACGACCUGUUCUUCGGAUCUACACUUCGACCUUAUGAAUGUUGUCAGCAUCUAAUAAAGUCUUCCCCUGAGUUUCAGUAAAGGGGUGCUCAUCUAGAAAAACUCUAGGGGGGGGGGGUCAUUUACCAAGAUCAGCGUUUUAUGGCGGUCUUAGAUUCCCCCCUACACUGCCGUAAGAUUUGGCUAAUUUAUGACAAGAUGCAUGCUUCAUCGUAAAUUAAGCGCAUCUACGGAAAUCCAUGCCCCUGGCGUAAAAACUACUCCAGCUCCUGGAUGGAGUUGUUUUUCGCCAAUAUUUACACCUGUUUCCAGGCGAAAAUGUUAGCAAAUAUGCUGG